AUACGGAGGGGGCUAGCGUUGUUCGGAAUUACUGGGCGUAAAGCGCGCGUAGGCGGACCAUCAAGUUAGGCGUGAAAGCCCCGGGCUCAACCCGGGAACUGCGUUUAAGACUGGUGACCUAGAGUCCGGGAGAGGGUGGUGGAAUUCCCAGUGUAGAGGUGAAAUUCGUAGAUAUUGGGAAGAACACCAGUGGCGAAGGCGGCCACCUGGACCGGUACUGACGCUAAGGCGCGAAAGCGUGGGGAGCAAACAGGAUUAGAAACCCCAGUAGUCC
This 274-nucleotide ribosomal RNA is filed under the name uncultured bacterium. RNAcentral's name for it is "partial 16S ribosomal RNA". It matches the Rfam family "Bacterial small subunit ribosomal RNA", at positions 523 to 796 of the family's 1533-position model. The record is from RNAcentral.